GUGGGGAAUCUUCCACAAUGGACGAAAGUCUGAUGGAGCAACGCCGCGUGAGUGAAGAAGGGUUUCGGCUCGUAAAGCUCUGUUGUCGGGGACGAAUGUGUAGUAUUUGAAUAAAGUACUGCAAUGACGGUACCUGACGAGGAAGCCACGGCUAACUACGUGCCAGCAGCCGCGGUAAUACGUAGGUGGCAAGCGUUGUCCGGAAUUAUUGGGCGUAAAGGGAGCGCAGGCGGGAAGGUAAGUCGGUCUUAAAAGUGCGGGGCUCAACCCCGUGAUGGGAUCGAAACUAUCUUUCUUGAGUGCAGGAGAGGAAAGUGGAAUUCCUAGUGUAGCGGUGAAAUGCGUAGAUAUUAGGAGGAACACCAGUGGCGAAGGCGACUUUCUGGACUGUAACUGACGCUGAGGCUCGAAAGCCAGGGGAGCGAACGGGAUUAGAAACCCGAGUAGUCC
Molecule: ribosomal RNA, 450 nt
Filed under: uncultured bacterium
Lineage: Bacteria
Description: partial 16S ribosomal RNA
Rfam family: Bacterial small subunit ribosomal RNA
Source: RNAcentral